This 649-nucleotide long non-coding RNA is filed under the name Felis catus (domestic cat). RNAcentral's name for it is "lncRNA (ENSFCAG00000045980.2)". The record is from RNAcentral. Lineage: Eukaryota; Metazoa; Chordata; Mammalia; Carnivora; Felidae.
CAAUAAUAAUAAAUCUACCUCUAACUGUCAAUGUCUUGACAGAGAGAGAGAGAAGUAGAGAGAAGAGCAAGAAGGAGAUGGAGAAAGAGGAGGAGAAAAAGAAGGAAGAAAGAUGUGACUUUUUGUUGGAGAUGAAUCAUGUGAACCUGCCUCAAUUCCAAAGGGAAAACCAAAUUCAAAAAGCUAUAAUAAACCCCAAAAGUGGAAACCGAGAUGCAGUGCACUUUAGAGCCUCAGAACCUCCUCCAGGCAGAGUAAGACAAUGAAAACUGAAUACAAGAAUCUGCCAUCACAACUGUGGGUGAGGUUUGGUUCCGGAAGCACAGCCAGUCCAGGUUCUUGGGGUAACACUGUGGCAAAAUUCCAGUAAGACACAUCCACUGCACCUUCCUGUUCUCAUUCCCGACUGGUCUGCUGUUUUUCAUCCUUCAAUCUGAUGAUAACACUGGAUGCAUGGGAGCCACUCUGUCUUCCUGCGCCAUGCGGGGCCACAGCUAAACCCUGAGACCUAACGCUGUCCUGUUCAGUACAGAAGGCAUUCACCACUGAUGUCUGUGGAGCACUUUAAAUGUACCCAGUUGGAUUUUAGCUGUGCUGCAAGUGUAAAAUACAUACCAGAUUUUGAAGACUUAAAUGAAAAGAAAAAAAG